UCCUUCCUGGAAGAAGCGCUUCCCUCCUCCCUUGUUCCUCCUGGUGAUGGGAGGGGAGGGGGUUCCUCCUAUUUUCUGCAGCCCUUUACUUAGGCAGGCAUGAAUAAUUCAGGACACCGGCUCCCUUUCUGAAAGCCCAGCUACUUACCAGCUCUCCUUAAUCUAUGAGGAUGUCAGAGGCCACAACUGGGGUGGAGGCCCCUCUGUCCCUUCUGAGCAGCAGCCAGCUACCCACAGAAGGCUCCCAUCCCAGGCUCGGACCCAGGCUGCCUACACCGGAACAGACCUUGUCCAGUCCCACUUAUACUGCACAGUACUGCCAGUUUAAUCUCAUGGCGAAGUUUUGAUCAAGCCACCCCAACCGCACCCUCCCAGAGGCAGAGGAGAGCUUCCCGUUGACUGACAUGUUGAUCAGACUAAAGCAGCAGAGGCACCAUGUGCUAUCCUGGGAAUGCACAGGCAGAAUCCUCUCCUCCAGGACCCACCCAGUGGAUACAGCUGGUGCUGACCAGGAACGCAAGUGAAGGAUGAUACAGUGAAAGGUCCGGUCCAAAGUGUUUUCAUUAGAAACAGUAACUAAAAAUGGAUGCCUUCUUUCUAACAUAAUCCAGCCCACAAAAUAUUUACCUGAAUCAGCAAUCUCUUGACCGGUGAGAACAUGCUACAGAUCCUGGGAAGGAGAUUGAAAGAAACGAAUAAAUGGCAGCUUCCUGCACUUUGCUUUCAACAAUAACAAAACAUAUCGAAAGAGCAGAAUGCAGUAGUCAAUAGAUUUUCUCAUUCCUGGCAACCACAAGGCUUUCUUACAGAGAAGUUUCUCCCAGCUCAGUGUUCACCACUGGUUUGGUCAGAAGCCCAGGAAGUCUCUCUAAAGAUGUUAAGCACUUAACACUUGGUGCAGGAGGCCCUGAUUUUGUGCUUUCUACAAGGGGGCUCUCUAUCUCUGGAAGGGACAGGAAUUUGCACGAGAACUUAUGUCUGCUAUACUCUUCAAGGCACAGCACAUACUAACACAGUACUAACAGGGUAAUAGAUAAUUUACUGGAUUUUUGGGGAAUAAAUUAUUCUAAAUACACUGUGAGUUUUACUAAUUUAAAAUAUUCACAACAGAGGGCGUGCAGAAUGUGCGAAAAACAGGUAUAAGCUAGGAGAAAAUGUAAAAUGAUCUUUUAUUAACAUGGAAUUUCAUUGUAUUUUAGACUGUGAUACUAAUCCCCAACAAGCAGGGUAGAAAGGAACGAGUAAUUCUUUUUAU
This is a long non-coding RNA of Prionailurus viverrinus (fishing cat), 1255 nucleotides long. RefSeq lists it as uncharacterized. Lineage: Eukaryota; Metazoa; Chordata; Mammalia; Carnivora; Felidae. The transcript has 5 exons. The record is from RefSeq and is a predicted model, not a curated record.